CAAAUGUCUUUCAUUGUUGCAAAUGUUACUGUAUUUAGUUAGUGUACAAACCACUGACCGGGUGAAGGCCAGUCCGUCUGGUUGGGUCUGCACCGCUGACCAGGUAAAGGCCAGUCCGUCUGGUUGGGUCUGCACCGCUGACCAGGUGAAGGCCAGUCCGUCUGGUUGGGUCUGCACCGCUGACCAGGUGAAGGCCAGUCCGUCUGGUUGGGUCUGCACCGCUGACCAGGUGAAGGCCAGUCCGUCUGGUUGGGUCUGCACCGCUGACCAGGUGAAGGCCAGUCCGUCUGGUUGGGUCUGCACCGGGGCCUCUCUCACACACCUGGGCCAGCGUCUCUUCAAAACUUGAGACGGCAUGAUCGUUUCAGCCACAGAGUGGGAGCGAGAUGAUCUGGAAUAGAAAGCCCUGCUGCCACUGAAUGAAUCAGCGAUUCUACUGUAGUCUGUGUGGGUGAUGUGGGACUGACUGUCCUUCUCCGAGACACUGGAGUACUUGUCGCUCCAAGAUGUGUCUGAGACGCUGUAGUCCAUGACCUUGCUGACCUCCAACGCGUCUUUGUCCCCAUCUCUGUCUCCCAGGUGCUCGGAGAUCUCGCUGACACUACUCCUGUCUGUUUCAGUCUUGAUCUCACUCUCAAUGUCACUCUUGUAGUCCUCCCUAGGCUCUACUGAUGGGAUCCUCUCCUCACACCUCCAGUACCACUGGCUGUCAUUAUCACCACUGGCUGUCAUUAUCACCACUGGCUGUCAUUAUCACCCACCUUUUUUGUUGUUGUUUGUUUUCUCCGACAUUCCAAGCGUGACCGGUGCGAGGUCGUCCAGUGACAAAAUAUUAAUGUUGAAUUCUGCAGAGAAAACAUGACUUCAUGAAUCAACUGGACUCAGUAAAUUAUAUCAAAAACACUCUAUCUCUGGUUAACUAGCACUCAAAACAUAUUCUUGAAGAAAGUUUCUCAUUUCAUAUUGCUUUUCACUACAACUCUACAGACAUUCGACAAAUGACCUGGCUUACCAUCAGAGACUCCACUUCUCUCACUGACGGCAUCAUUGGAGGGCAGGUCCUCAGAGAAGAGCUCCGCCAGAGCAUCCAGGGCCUCAGAGAAGAGCUCCACCAGGGAGCACACCUCACUGAGGGCUGACACUGAGGACCGGGAGGGUUUGAGGUGCCUGGCCCGUGUGGAGCCCUGACUGCCUGGGGAGGGGGCGUAGGGGGGGAUAGGGCGAUGGAGAGAGGACUACUGAGGCACUGCGGAUGGAGAGAGGACUGCGUUGGUCCAGGGCUCGGCUGGAGAAGCGACUGGGUGAUCCGCUGCACGGAGGAGAGGGUGGAGAGCGGGACUGGGCUCUGACUGACGAUGAUCGGUCUGCCAGUGGAGGCUAUACACUGACGACUCAAAAGAGCCCCCCAGGAGCUUCCUCAUAUCCUCCUCAUCACUGUCUAGAGUCAUACCUCUACCGGCCACCCUUAUUGGAGUACCGGGUUUGGAACUACCCUAUGGCAUGGCAUCAAGAUCCAGGCUUUUCUCCUUUGGCGCUACAGCAGGUAUAGGUGAUACAUGCACUCUCUUCUUCAGGAAGCGUUUCCUUCAUGCUGAGGUCACUGCUGGACUGGGCAGGCAGGGGCUUCUCCUUCUCCUGGGGGGCUGUUGGUAUACUCCUAUCAGCCAACAUCGCUGGUCCGUCCCUGGCCUGUUGACAAUUUCGGAUGCGGUUCUCUAUGACAGCCAGUCGGCUCAGGGCCGCGCUCUGUGAGCUCCUCUGUGAUGUGGACUCGACUGACUAUGUCUGAGUCCAGCUCAGGGCUGGAGGUUGGCUGGUAGCUGCAGCAGGUGGAGGAAGA
RNAcentral lists this long non-coding RNA (1840 nucleotides) under Salmo salar (Atlantic salmon). RNAcentral's name for it is "lncRNA (ENSSSAG00000117197.1)". Lineage: Eukaryota; Metazoa; Chordata; Actinopteri; Salmoniformes; Salmonidae. The record is from RNAcentral.